AUGUCAGUUUCUGCUCAGAACCCUGCUCCUGGAAUCCUCUCCCAGGGAUCUUCCUCGGGCGCCAUGGCAGUGAAGAGACACACCAAGCAGGAGACCCUGGCCCUGCGGAAGCAGCUUAUCGGGUCGGAAGCGAAUGACCUGGCCCUGCGGCUGUCGCGCCAGUACACGGGACAUCGGGAUGUGGUGGUGAUUGACCAUGCUUACCACGGGCACCUGACCUCCCUAACUGACAUAAGCCCUUACAAGUUCCGGGAACUGGACGGACAGCCGGAUUGGGUCCCGUGGUAUGUCCCUCUCCCAGAUAUCUACCGGGGCAUUUACCGGGAAGACCACCCAGAUCCAGCCACGGCCUAUGCGGAAGAGGUAAAGAAAGUGAUCAACGAGGCCGAGGACAAGGGCAGGAAGGUGAGAGCCGGGGCGGCCCUGGCCAAGGCUGGGAGGGAGGCUGGGGGGGGGGGGGGCAAGACUAGCUCAGUUUUCAAUGUUAAAGUUCUGUGGGUUGGAGGUCAGGGUCAGAGGUACAUAUUUUCUUUCUUAGUAACAACUCUAAGGCAGAAGGGCAGGGGCAGAUGGGUGGCUCAAAAUGCAAAGGGAGUAAAAGUAACCAAGUCCCUACUCUGUGUGCCCUUAAAGGAGGGCAUAGGAGGAGAUGAAAUGGCUCCUACCUUCAUGGAGAUUGUGGUGAGAUCAGCCUGCCACUUCUAUUCCACAUUUGCGGGAAGCCCUGUUUCCUGUGCAGUGGGUUUGGCAGUCUUGGACGUCUUAGAGAAGGAGCACCUCCAGGCCCAUGCUGACCACGUGGGAGAGUUCCUGAUGGGGCUGCUGAAGCAGCAGCGGGAGAAGCAUCCCAUCAUUGGCGAUGUCAGGGGUGUUGGGUUGUUCAUUGGUGUGGAUCUGAUCAAAGAUAAGGCAACAAGGACGCCAGCCACAGAAGAAGCUAACUAUCUGAUUUCUAAGUUAAAGGAUAACCAUAUUUUGUUGAGCACAGAUGGACCUGGAGGAAACGUCUUGAAAUUUAAGCCUCCAAUGUGCUUCAAUAUGGACGAUGCCAGAUUAGUUGCAAACAAAAUUGACACAAUUUUAACAGAAAUGGAGAAAAACAUGAGCACCUGUGAAACCCUUCAAAGUGUCGAAUGAGCUGGCUAGGUCUUCCCUGGGAAACCUGGGUUCAGAGAAUAUCCCAAAAGAUGAAGGAACCCUGCCAGCUCAUCCCAAGGUGACAAGAAAUUCUAACUCAAUCUAUUCACCAUUUACCUUGUAACAGCGGCUAUAACGACCAGACCUGUUAAACUCAAAACAAAAGCUUCUGUUGCUAUACAUCUUAACAGCUCAUCUUAACAAUUCUGGAGAGCACAGGCUUGGAAGGCAGAUGGGCCAGUGAGACCCAAACUUCUUUUCCCCAAAAUAUUCAUCCCCACCCACAUUUUUAGGUGUUAUACACUACUAUAGCCACACUAACCACUCUAUUACUGUUAUUAAAGGCAUCAGACAGACAUGGGUCAAAGUGGUUAGAAAAUUAAGGUCAGAAAAGAAAACAGGGAAGAUGAAUCCUGGUUUCUACCAUUUUGCCUUGGGACAAAUGACUCAACUCUGCUCUGGGCCUUUUUUAGGCUUGAAGAUCUAAAUGUCUUCAAUGGAAUGUUUUUGAACAUGUCUGUCCAAAUUUGUUUCAACAAUUAAAGCUACCAUGAAAUGUCUAUAUUUUUCUUAAACAAGUUUUGUACUUGAUGAAGGGGCAGCAAAUAUGACAUGCUCUUUUGCCUCACACCGACUCUUGCCUUAAGGACAGUUGGCUGUAGUGGGAGACUAUCCUAGUCUCUGAAAUAGAUUCCCAAGUGCCCCCAGGAUGAGCAAGCUGGGAUGUGGGUCAGUUGUCAGGGAGAUCUGUCUAUAUUCUUUCAAUAGUUGGAAGAUUAAGAAAUGGCACACUAGCUGGUUUGGGGUGUGUUUUUUGUUAAUUUUUUAUUUCAAAAGCUAGGAUAGCUUCAAUAUCCAUGUCAUGGUAAUCAGGACACAUGUAAAAUACCUUACAAUACAUUAGAUUCCCAAAAGGUACCAAAAAGUACAGUAAAAUUAACACUUCCAUUGCCGGAAAUGUAUGACACAAACAAUAUAAAAUAAAAAGGUGAAAAAAAGGAGGCA
Monodelphis domestica (gray short-tailed opossum) is the source of this 2142-nucleotide long non-coding RNA. The record is from Ensembl. NCBI's taxonomy places the organism in Eukaryota, Metazoa, Chordata, Mammalia, Didelphimorphia, Didelphidae.